GGGGUCGACUGGUUUUGACAGCGAGACUGGAUUAAUGGUAAGCAUGUCGAGCGCUGGGAAACAGCUCGUAAAUCUCAUUUUUCAUCUUUUUUAAACGGCGAGAAUAACUACGCCCUAGCUGCAUAAUCUGAAUCAUAGUAAGAUUACGCCUCGGUCUACUAGGUAGACAAGCAGGAAGUCUCUCAACAGCCUUGGUUUGCGGCGGUUGGUUAUGGGACUUCGUAAAAGUAAACCUAUCUACGGCAGUGCUUUGAUGCGGUAGAGAAAUUUAAUUGAAGCCAAGCCUAGUUUUGGUAGUUUCUGACCGGCUCUAGGACUGAAAUGAAUUAGAAACUAAACAUGUAGAAAGCGAUUGAUUCACUUGUUUGGACGGCGGUUCGAAUCCGCCCGACUCCACAA
This is a non-coding RNA of 399 nucleotides. It matches the Rfam family "transfer-messenger RNA". Rfam says of the family: Bacterial tmRNA, also known as 10Sa RNA or SsrA, is named for its dual tRNA and mRNA-like properties. Its role is to liberate the mRNA from a stalled ribosome. To accomplish this part of the tmRNA is used as a reading frame that ends in a translation stop signal. The record is from Rfam.